This 481-nucleotide ribosomal RNA is filed under the name uncultured bacterium. RNAcentral describes it as "bacterial SSU rRNA". It matches the Rfam family "Bacterial small subunit ribosomal RNA", at positions 903 to 1397 of the family's 1533-position model. The record is from RNAcentral.
AAAUGAAUUGACGGGGGCCCGCACAAGCAGCGGAGCGUGUGGUUUAAUUCGAGGCAACGCGAAGAACCUUACCUGGGCUUGACAUGGCGGUGGUACUGAGGCGAAAGCCGAGGGACCCUUCGGGGAGCCGUCACAGGUGCUGCAUGGCUGUCGUCAGCUCGUGCCGUGAGGUGUUCGGUUAAGUCCGCGAACGAGCGCAACCCUUGCCGCCAGUUACAAGUGUCUGGCGGGACUGCCGGUGACAAACCGGAGGAAGGUGGGGAUGACGUCAAGUCAGCAUGGCCUUUAUGUCCAGGGCGACACACACGCUACAAUGGCCGGUACAAUGAGCAGCCAAGCCGCGAGGUGGAGCGAAUCUCCAAAGCCGGUCGUAGUUCGGAUUGCAGGCUGCAACUCGCCUGCAUGAAGUCGGAGUUGCUAGUAACCGUGGGUCAGCCACACUACGGUGAAUACGUUCCCGGGCCUUGCACACACCGCCCGU